GGGCUGGUAGCUCAAUGGUAGAGCAGGCUGCUCAUAACGGCUCGGUUGCGGGUUCGAAUCCUGCCCGGCCCACCG
This 75-nucleotide transfer RNA is filed under the name Glacieibacterium frigidum. RNAcentral's name for it is "Sandarakinorhabdus sp. LB1R16 tRNA-Met". It matches the Rfam family "tRNA". From Rfam's summary of the family: Transfer RNA (tRNA) molecules are approximately 80 nucleotides in length. Their secondary structure includes four short double-helical elements and three loops (D, anti-codon, and T loops). Further hydrogen bonds mediate the characteristic L-shaped molecular structure. tRNAs have two regions of fundamental functional importance: the anti-codon, which is responsible for specific mRNA codon recognition, and the 3' end, to which the tRNAs corresponding amino acid is attached (by aminoacyl-tRNA synthetases). tRNAs cope with the degeneracy of the genetic code in two manners: having more than one tRNA (with a specific anti-codon) for a particular amino acid; and 'wobble' base-pairing, i.e. permitting non-standard base-pairing at the 3rd anti-codon position. The record is from RNAcentral. Lineage: Bacteria; Pseudomonadati; Pseudomonadota; Alphaproteobacteria; Sphingomonadales; Sphingosinicellaceae.